AGGAACUCUUCAUAGAAUAGCUUCUUUUCCAGAAUUGUUUUAGAAUCCUUUCUUCCUCCCUCUUCUUCUUUCUUUAUCUCUUUCUUUCUCUCUCCUUUUGUGCUCUCUCUCUCUCUCUCUCUCUCUCUCUCUCUCUCUCUCUUUCUUCCUCCCUUCCUUUGUCUUUUUGAGAUGAGGUUUUUCUUUUAGAGUACGGGCUCCUCAGAUUCAGAGGGCAGGUGAGGAUGACUUUGAACUCCAGCCACCCCUGACUCUCCCUUCCGUGUGCUGGGAUCACAGGCAGAUGCCACUAUGCCUGGCCUAAUGGAUUUUUUUUUUGUCUUGGAAAAAAUGAAAGAAAGAAAGAAAGAAAGAGAGAAAGAGAGAGAAAGAAAGGGAAAAAGAAAGAAAUGAAAGGAGAGAGGAAGAGAAGAGAAGAACUUAAGGAAUGUGCUUCUGCCACCCACGGAGCGUCUAAGUUUAUUUUGUGAGUAAGAUGAGUCAUGUGCUUUGAAGACCAGGGUGGCGAUAUCUUAAUGAGAUAAAUUUCUGUCUGUUCAACAAUACAUUCUGGAAUGUCUGAGAGAUCCUGAGUAGAAGGCUAAGAUGCCAGGGAGAUCACGAAGGAAGGACAGAGGCUGAAGACAUACUAAAGAAAGAAACAGUGCAAGAGAACAGAGAUGAUGUUUGUACUCUUUAAAGACUCUUUUGUCCUACCUUUCUUUCUUUAGCCUUCCCUUCCUCUGUCCCUCCCUUCCCCUUCUCUUUUCUCUUCAGUCCUUCCCUCCCUCCCUCCCUCCCUCCCUCCCUCCCUCCCUCCCUCCCUCCCUCCCUUUCUUUGUCUUUCUCCCCUCUCCUUUUUUGGAGAAAUGAUCUCACUGAAAAAAAUCCAGGCUAACCUCAAACUGGGAAUCCUCCUGCCUCAGCUUCUGAGCUGUUGGGUGUGUGCCAACAGGCCUGGCUUAGCUUUCGUUUCUUAGAGGCCUGAGUCCAAGUCCAAGGUAAAGCCAUUAGCAGCAAUCAGCUAGCAAGUGGAAUCUGAAAGGAGAGAAGAUGCAACUAUAGGAACAUAUUUUCAGGUCAUUGACAUCGAAAUGGUAACUGAACAGAAGUGUUGUAUGUCUUGGAGAACUUAACGCGUUUACCUGCCUUAGAGAGUAAAUAUAUGGUGGCAGCAGAGGACCCAUUCCACAAGGUGGAGUCAUCUGACUUGGCCAUGUCCCCACAUCCACCCCACCUCCCUACCAAGGCAAAUAAAGAAAAUUAAAAAAAUUAAAAGACCCCUAUUUUUAAACGUAGAGUGAGUUGUUUUAUUAUCUAUGUGUUGGCAAAUAUCUGAUUCUGUGUGUGUGUGUGUGUGUGUGUGUGUGUGUGUGUGUGUGUGUCUAUACAAGCCACAUGCAGAGGCCAGAGGAGGAUAUCCAAUGUCCCAAUACUAUUAAUGCCUACCUUAUUCUCAUUGAGUCACUUGAAUCAGCAGGCAAUCCUCCAGUUAACAGCUCUGGGGUUACAGGAGCACAGCACAGCACCAGGCUUUUAAAGUAGAUGCUUGGGAUUCAAACUCACAUUUUGACCAUGUUUGACCAGCAAGAUCUACUGUACGGUCCCACCACCAUUGGUAAUCAUGCUAAUCCAUUUGC
This is a non-coding RNA of Rattus norvegicus (Norway rat), 1619 nucleotides long. NCBI's taxonomy places the organism in Eukaryota, Metazoa, Chordata, Mammalia, Rodentia, Muridae. The record is from RefSeq and is a predicted model, not a curated record.